AGUGAACGCUGGCGGCAGGCCUAACACAUGCAAGUCGAACGGCAGCACAGUAAGAGCUUGCUCUUACGGGUGGCGAGUAGCGGACGGGUGAGGAAUACAUCGGAAUCUACUUUUUCGUGGGGGAUAACGUAGGGAAACUUACGCUAAUACCGCAUACGACCUACGGGUGAAAGCAGGGGAUCUUCGGACCUUGCGCGAUUGAAUGAGCCGAUGUCGGAUUAGCUAGUUGGCGGGGUAAAGGCCCACCAAGGCGACGAUCCGUAGCUGGUCUGAGAGGAUGAUCAGCCACACUGGAACUGAGACACGGUCCAGACUCCUACGGGAGGCAGCAGUGGGGAAUAUUGGACAAUGGGCGCAAGCCUGAUCCAGCCAUACCGCGUGGGUGAAGAAGGCCUUCGGGUUGUAAAGCCCUUUUGUUGGGAAAGAAAAGCAGCAGGUUAAUACCCCGCUGUUCUGACGGUACCCAAAGAAUAAGCACCGGCUAACUUCGUG
RNAcentral lists this ribosomal RNA (492 nucleotides) under uncultured bacterium. RNAcentral describes it as "partial 16S ribosomal RNA". It matches the Rfam family "Bacterial small subunit ribosomal RNA", at positions 29 to 507 of the family's 1533-position model. The record is from RNAcentral.